GACGAACGCUGGCGGCGUGCUUAGCACAUGCAAGUCGAACGGAAAGGCCCUGCUUUUGUGGGGUGCUCGAGUGGCGAACGGGUGAGUAACACGUGAGUAACCUGCCCUUGACUUUGGGAUAACUUCAGGAAACUGGGGCUAAUACCGGAUAGGAGCUCCUGCUGCAUGGUGGGGGUUGGAAAGUUUCGGCGGUUGGGGAUGGACUCGCGGCUUAUCAGCUUGUUGGUGGGGUAGUGGCUUACCAAGGCUUUGACGGGUAGCCGGCCUGAGAGGGUGACCGGCCACAUUGGGACUGAGAUACGGCCCAGACUCCUACGGGAGGCAGCAGUGGGGAAUAUUGCACAAUGGGCGGAAGCCUGAUGCAGCAACGCCGCGUGCGGGAUGGCGGCCUUCGGGUUGUAAACCGCUUUCGCCUGUGACGAAGCGUGAGUGACGGUAAUGGGUAAAGAAGCACCGGCUAACUACGUG
RNAcentral lists this ribosomal RNA (468 nucleotides) under uncultured bacterium. RNAcentral describes it as "partial 16S ribosomal RNA". It matches the Rfam family "Bacterial small subunit ribosomal RNA", at positions 28 to 507 of the family's 1533-position model. The record is from RNAcentral.